Molecule: ribosomal RNA, 317 nt
Filed under: Streptomyces sp. F56-3
Lineage: Bacteria; Bacillati; Actinomycetota; Actinomycetes; Kitasatosporales; Streptomycetaceae
Description: bacterial SSU rRNA
Rfam family: Bacterial small subunit ribosomal RNA
Source: RNAcentral
UUAAGUCCCGCAAACGAGGCGCAACCCUUGUUCUGUGUUGCCAGCAUGCCCUUCGGGGUGAUGGGGACUCACAGGAGACCGCCGGGGUCAACUCGGAGGAAAGGUGGGGACGACGUCAAGUCAUCAUGCCCCUUAUGUCUUGGGCUGCACACGUGCUACAAUGGCCGGUACAAUGAGCUGCGAUANCCGUGAGGUGGAGCGAAUCUCAAAAAGCCGGUCUCAGUUCGGAUUGGGGUCUGCAACUCGACCCCAUGAAGUCGGAGUCGCUAGUAAUCGCAGAUCAGCAUUGCUGCGGUGAAUACGUUNCCCGGGCCUUG